Non-coding RNA from Schistocerca piceifrons (Central American locust), 75 nucleotides. The record is from the annotation of a RefSeq genome assembly. NCBI's taxonomy places the organism in Eukaryota, Metazoa, Arthropoda, Insecta, Orthoptera, Acrididae.
UGCCCCGGGUGGCGCAGUGAUCAAUGCACCUGCCUAACGAGCAGGAGGUCCCGGGUUCGAAUCCCGGUCCGGUAC